Molecule: ribosomal RNA, 617 nt
Filed under: Hanseniaspora occidentalis
Lineage: Eukaryota; Fungi; Ascomycota; Saccharomycetes; Saccharomycodales; Saccharomycodaceae
Description: eukaryotic LSU rRNA
Rfam family: Eukaryotic large subunit ribosomal RNA
Source: RNAcentral
UGCAUAUCCAAUAAGCGGAGGAAAAGAAACCAACCGGGAUUGCCUCAGUAACGGCGAGUGAAGCGGCAAAAGCUCAAAUUUGAAAUCUGGCACUUUCAGUGUCCGAGUUGUAAUUUGUAGAAGUAGUUUUGGGACUGGUCCUUAUCUAUGUUUCUUGGAACAGGACGUCAUAGAGGGUGAGAACCCCGUAUGAUGAGGCCCCCAGUCCUUUGUAAAACGCUUUCGAAGAGUCGAGUUGUUUGGGAAUGCAGCUCUAAGUGGGUGGUAAAUUCCAUCUAAAGCUAAAUAUUGGCGAGAGACCGAUAGCGAACAAGUACAGUGAUGGAAAGAUGAAAAGAACUUUGAAAAGAGAGUGAAAAAGUACGUGAAAUUGUUGAAAGGGAAGGGCAUUUGAUCAGACAUGGUGUUUUGCGCCCUUUGCUCCUUGUGGGCGGAGGAUACGCAGCUCACUGGGCCAACAUCAGUUUUGGGAGCAGGAUAAAUCUGUAGGAACGUAGCUUUCUUCGGGAAGUGUUAUAGCCUAUGGGAAUACUGCUACCUGGGACUGAGGACUGCGUCUUUUGACAAGGAUGUUGGCAUAAUGGUUAAAUGCCGCCCGUCUUGAACCAAGGGAACCA